CCUACGGGUGGCAGCAGUCGAGAAUCAUUCACAAUGGGGGAAACCCUGAUGGUGCGACGCCGCGUGGGUGAAUGAAGGUCUUCGGAUUGUAAACCCCUGUCAUGUGGGAGCAAAUUAAAAAGAUAGUACCACAAGAGGAAGAGACGGCUAACUCUGUGCCAGCAGCCGCGGUAAUACAGAGGUCUCAAGCGUUGUUCGGAAUCACGGGGCGUAAAGCGUGCGUAGGCUGUUUCGUAAGUCGUGUGUGAAAGGCGCGGGCUCAACCCGCGGACGGCACAUGAUACUGCGAGACUAGAGUGAUGGAGGGGGAACCGGAAUUCUCGGUGGAGCAGUGAAAUGCGUAGAUAUCGAGAGGAACACUCGUGGCGAAGGCGAGUUCCUGGACAUUAACUGACGCUGAGGCACGAAGGCCAGGGGAGCGAAAGGGAUUAGAUACCCCAGUAGUC
This 446-nucleotide ribosomal RNA is filed under the name uncultured bacterium. RNAcentral's name for it is "partial 16S ribosomal RNA". It matches the Rfam family "Bacterial small subunit ribosomal RNA", at positions 338 to 795 of the family's 1533-position model. The record is from RNAcentral.